GCAGGAGUAACUCAAUGGUAGAGUGUAACCUUCCCAAGGUUAAGGUUGCGAGUUCGAUCCUCGUCUCCUGCU
RNAcentral lists this transfer RNA (72 nucleotides) under Chitinispirillales bacterium. Its description in RNAcentral is "tRNA-Gly". It matches the Rfam family "tRNA". Rfam says of the family: Transfer RNA (tRNA) molecules are approximately 80 nucleotides in length. Their secondary structure includes four short double-helical elements and three loops (D, anti-codon, and T loops). Lineage: Bacteria; Pseudomonadati; Fibrobacterota; Chitinispirillia; Chitinispirillales. The record is from RNAcentral.